Grammomys surdaster is the source of this 106-nucleotide small nuclear RNA. The record is from RefSeq and is a predicted model, not a curated record. Lineage: Eukaryota; Metazoa; Chordata; Mammalia; Rodentia; Muridae.
GUGCUCACUUUGGCUGCACAUAACUAAAAUUGAAAAAAUACAGAGGAGAUUAGCAUGGCCCCUGUACAAGGAUGGUACGCAGAACAAGGAACUAGAGACAACUCUG